This 492-nucleotide ribosomal RNA is filed under the name uncultured bacterium. RNAcentral describes it as "partial 16S ribosomal RNA". It matches the Rfam family "Bacterial small subunit ribosomal RNA", at positions 28 to 507 of the family's 1533-position model. The record is from RNAcentral.
GAUGAACGCUAGCUACAGGCUUAACACAUGCAAGUCGAGGGGAAACGACAUCUAAAGCUUGCUUUUGAUGGGCGUCGACCGGCGCACGGGUGAGUAACGCGUAUCCAACCUGCCCACCACUUGGGGAUAACCUUGCGAAAGUAAGACUAAUACCCAAUGAUAUCCCACGAAGACAUCUGAAUGGGAUUAAAGAUUUAUCGGUGAUGGAUGGGGAUGCGUCUGAUUAGCUUGUUGGCGGGGUAACGGCCCACCAAGGCAACGAUCAGUAGGGGUUCUGAGAGGAAGGUCCCCCACAUUGGAACUGCGACACGGUCCCAACGCCUACGGGAGGCAGCAGUGGGGAAUAUUGGUCAAUGGGCGAGAGCCUGAACCAGCCAAGUAGCGUGCAGGAAGACGGCCCUGUGGGUUGUAAACUGCUUUUAUAAGGGGAUAAAGUGGGUCACGUGUGACUUUUUGCCUGUACCUUAUGAAUAAGGACCGGCUAAUUCCGUG